Pelobates cultripes (western spadefoot toad) is the source of this 262-nucleotide non-coding RNA. The record is from the annotation of a GenBank genome assembly. Lineage: Eukaryota; Metazoa; Chordata; Amphibia; Anura; Pelobatidae.
AUUGUAAAACAAUGGCAAGCAUUAAAUGACAGUGUAACUCUAAUUCACUCUACUUAAAGGAACACUAUAGGGUCAGGAACACAAACAUGUAUUCCUGACCCUAUAGUGAUAAAACCACCAUCUAGCCCUCCUGGGCCCCUCAUUCCUCCCUAAAUAUAGCAAAAUCUUACUUGCAUUCAAGCCCUGCAUGCUGUUUGCAUUGUUGUCUGCUGACAUCAUCAGAAGUGGUAGCCUGAUCCAAUCACAGUGCUUCUCCAUAGGA